Molecule: microRNA precursor, 105 nt
Filed under: Marmota monax (woodchuck)
Lineage: Eukaryota; Metazoa; Chordata; Mammalia; Rodentia; Sciuridae
Source: RNAcentral
UUCCACAUCACAUGAGGACCUUGUUCAAAUGAAGCUUAUGAUUCAGUAAUGCAGGGCUGAGGUCUGAAAUUUGGCAUUUUUAAUAAGCUCCUGGGUGAUUCUGAU